GGCAACUUGCCGGAGUGGUUAACGGGACAGAUUCGAAUAACCGUACUAUCUGUUGGGCUUUGCCCGCGCAGGUUCGAAUCCUGCAGUUGUCG
This is a transfer RNA of Yarrowia lipolytica, 92 nucleotides long. It matches the Rfam family "tRNA". From Rfam's summary of the family: Transfer RNA (tRNA) molecules are approximately 80 nucleotides in length. Their secondary structure includes four short double-helical elements and three loops (D, anti-codon, and T loops). The record is from Rfam. Lineage: Eukaryota; Fungi; Ascomycota; Dipodascomycetes; Dipodascales.